GACAUAUAAUGUGAAAUGCUAAAGGAAUGCAUAUUGAUAUAAUGUAAGAAUGUGAAAAGAAGUAUGUUAACAUAUUAUAGAAUGCUAGAUAAAUGCAUGUGAUUAAUGAUUUGAAUGCAUAAGAUAAAGGGCAUAUGAAUGUUAACAUUAUAAGAAUAUGCUUAAAGAAAUGCAUAAUGAUAUGUUGUAGAGCAUGCAUGUGGAUAAUGCUAAAUAAUGAUAUGAUAAGCAUGAUAUAGAAAUAAUGAAUGCAAGUAUGUGGUUAAUGUUAAGAAAUGGAAAUGUGCAUAUGGACAAUCUAUAUACAUUAGAUCGAGUUGCACUAAACCUAG
RNAcentral lists this long non-coding RNA (332 nucleotides) under Ananas comosus (pineapple). RNAcentral's name for it is "long non-coding RNA (ACOM_LNC019852)". Lineage: Eukaryota; Viridiplantae; Streptophyta; Magnoliopsida; Poales; Bromeliaceae. The record is from RNAcentral.